UCGAGAAUCUUCGGCAAUGGGCGCAAGCCUGACCGAGCGACGCCGCGUGGAGGAUGAAGGCCCUCGGGUUGUAAACUCCUGUCGAGGGGGAAAAAGGUCUCGCAAGAGGCUUGAUUGAUCCCUGGAGGAAGCACGGGCUAAGUUCGUGCCAGCAGCCGCGGUAAGACGAACCGUGCGAACGUUAUUCGGAAUCAUUGGGCUUAAAGCGCGUGUAGGCGGAUAAGCACGUCCGACGCUGAAAUCCCCCGGCUCAACCGGGGAACGGGCGCGGAUACGGCUUGUCUGGAGGGGCGUAGGGGGACCUGGAACUUCCGGUGGAGCGGUGAAAUGCGUUGAGAUCGGAAGGAACGCCCGUGGCGAAAGCGAGGUCCUGGACGCCUACUGACGCUGAGACGCGAAAGCCAGGGGAGCGAACG
This 416-nucleotide ribosomal RNA is filed under the name uncultured bacterium. Its description in RNAcentral is "bacterial SSU rRNA". It matches the Rfam family "Bacterial small subunit ribosomal RNA", at positions 355 to 774 of the family's 1533-position model. The record is from RNAcentral.